RNAcentral lists this unclassified non-coding RNA (593 nucleotides) under Colletotrichum gloeosporioides. Its description in RNAcentral is "contains 16S-23S intergenic spacer region". The stretch from base 218 to 371 matches the Rfam family "5.8S ribosomal RNA". Lineage: Eukaryota; Fungi; Ascomycota; Sordariomycetes; Glomerellales; Glomerellaceae. The record is from RNAcentral.
UUUUUUUGAUUCUUAGUCUCGUUGGUGACAGCGGAGGGAUCAUUACUGAGUUUACGCUCUAUAACCCUUUGUGAACAUACCUAUAACUGUUGCUUCGGCGGGUAGGGUCUCCGUGACCCUCCCGGCCUCCCGCCCCCGGGCGGGUCGGCGCCCGCCGGAGGAUAACCAAACUCUGAUUUAACGACGUUUCUUCUGAGUGGUACAAGCAAAUAAUCAAAACUUUUAACAACGGAUCUCUUGGUUCUGGCAUCGAUGAAGAACGCAGCGAAAUGCGAUAAGUAAUGUGAAUUGCAGAAUUCAGUGAAUCAUCGAAUCUUUGAACGCACAUUGCGCCCGCCAGCAUUCUGGCGGGCAUGCCUGUUCGAGCGUCAUUUCAACCCUCAAGCUCUGCUUGGUGUUGGGGCCCUACAGCUGAUGUAGGCCCUCAAAGGUAGUGGCGGACCCUCCCGGAGCCUCCUUUGCGUAGUAACUUUACGUCUCGCACUGGGAUCCGGAGGGACUCUUGCCGUAAAACCCCCAAUUCUCCAAAGGUUGACCUCGGAUCAGGUAGGAAUACCCGCUGAACUUAAGCAUAUCAAAAGCGGGGAAGGAAA